Molecule: ribosomal RNA, 480 nt
Filed under: uncultured bacterium
Lineage: Bacteria
Description: partial 16S ribosomal RNA
Rfam family: Bacterial small subunit ribosomal RNA
Source: RNAcentral
GAUGAACGCUGGCGGCGUGCUUAACACAUGCAAGUCGAACGGAACUACUCCAAUGAGAGUCUUCGGAAAGGAUUUGGUUUAGUUUAGUGGCGGACGGGUGAGUAACGCGUGGGUAACCUGCCCUAUACAGGGGGAUAACAGUUGGAAACGACUGUUAAUACCGCAUAAGCGCACAGGAGCGCAUGCUCCGGUGUGAAAAACUCCGGCGGUAUAGGAUGGACCCGAGUCUGAUUAGCUGGUUGGCGGGGUAACGGCCCACCAAGGCGACGAUCAGUAGCCGGGCUGGGAAGGGGAAAGGCCACAUUUGGGCUGCGGCACGGCCCCAACUGCUACGGGGGGCAGGAGUGGGGGAUAUUGCGCAAUGGGGGAAACCCUGGUGCCGCGGCGCCGGGGGAGCGGAGAAGUAGCUCGGUAAGUAAAGCCCUAUCAGCAGGGGAGAAAAUGACGGUAACUGGCUAAGAAGCCCCGGCUAACUACGUG